Long non-coding RNA from Adelges cooleyi (spruce gall adelgid), 318 nucleotides. RefSeq lists it as uncharacterized. The transcript has 3 exons. The record is from RefSeq and is a predicted model, not a curated record. Lineage: Eukaryota; Metazoa; Arthropoda; Insecta; Hemiptera; Adelgidae.
AUAAUGUGGAACCGCACCCAAAUGAACCUAUAUUAACAACAGAACACAGAGUAGACGAAGACGAAGUCGAAGAGGUCCCACGUGGACCAAAGCCGGAUUUGGGAGAGGAACAUAAUGUAGAACCGCACCCAAAUGAACCUAUAUUAACAACAGAACACAGAGUAGACGAAGAGGAAGUCGAAGAGGUCCCACGUGGACCAACGCCGGAUUUGGGAGAGGAACAUAAUGUAGAACCGCACCCAAAUGAACCUAUAUUAACAACAGAACACAGAGUAGACGAAGAGGAAGUCGAAGAGGUCCCACGUGGACCAACGCCGG